This 337-nucleotide ribosomal RNA is filed under the name uncultured Nitrospirota bacterium. Its description in RNAcentral is "bacterial SSU rRNA". It matches the Rfam family "Bacterial small subunit ribosomal RNA", at positions 29 to 351 of the family's 1533-position model. Lineage: Bacteria; Pseudomonadati; Nitrospirota. The record is from RNAcentral.
AGUGAACGCUGGCGGCGUGCCUAACACAUGCAAGUCGAACGCGAAAGUCCCGCAAGGGAUGAGUAGAGUGGCAGACGGGUGAGUAAUGCAUAGGUAAUCUACCCUUGAGUGAGGGACAACUGAUCGAAAGGUCAGCUAAUCCCGCAUGACAUUGCUUCACAUAAGUGAGGUAAUUAAAGAGGGGGCUCCUUCGGGACCUCUUGCUUAAGGAUGAGCUUAUGUCCUAUUAGCUAGUUGGUGGGGUAAUGGCCUACCAAGGCUCUGAUGGGUAGCCGAGCUUAGAGGCUGAUCGGCCACACUGGAACUGCGACACGGUCCAGACUCCUACGGGUGGCAG